AACGAACGCUGGCGGCAUGCCUAACACAUGCAAGUCGAACGAGACCUUCGGGUCUAGUGGCGCACGGGUGCGUAACGCGUGGGAACCUGCCCUUAGGUUCGGAAUAACUCCCCGAAAGGGGUGCUAAUACCGGAUAAUGUCUUCGGACCAAAGAUUUAUCGCCUUUGGAUGGGCCCGCGUUGGAUUAGCUAGUUGGUAGGGUAAAAGCCUACCAAGGCGACGAUCCAUAGCUGGUCUGAGAGGAUGAUCAGCCACACUGGGACUGAGACACGGCCCAGACUCCUACGGGAGGGAGGAGUGGGGGAUAUUGGACCAUGGGCGAAAGCCUGAUCCAGCAAUGCCGCGUGAGUGAUGAAGGCCUUAGGGUUGUAAAGCUCUUUUAACCGGGAUGAUAAUGACCGUACCGGGAGAAUAAGCUCCGGCUAACUCCGUG
This 433-nucleotide ribosomal RNA is filed under the name uncultured bacterium. RNAcentral's name for it is "partial 16S ribosomal RNA". It matches the Rfam family "Bacterial small subunit ribosomal RNA", at positions 29 to 507 of the family's 1533-position model. The record is from RNAcentral.